Cannabis sativa is the source of this 1548-nucleotide long non-coding RNA. RefSeq lists it as uncharacterized. Lineage: Eukaryota; Viridiplantae; Streptophyta; Magnoliopsida; Rosales; Cannabaceae. The transcript has 2 exons. The record is from RefSeq and is a predicted model, not a curated record.
AUCAUUAUUAUUAUUAUGUUUAUUAUUAUUAUUAUUAUUAUUAACAACUAAUAUUCAAACUCACGUACGCAUGAACGGAACACACAAACCGAACGCCUAUUUUGGUGGAAUGGGAAUCGCUCCACUUCGGUUCAAUGCGAUAUUUUGCUUGGGUUUAAACACGAUAGAAAUUAGGUUUUAAACUCUAUUUUCGUUCACCCAAAACAGAGAACCAACGAGAGAGAGAGAGAGAGCACGUAUACGGCGUAUACGGUACCGAAAACUUUCGUUUCUUCAAGCGGAGUGAAACCUGGGUGAACGUGGGGGUUUGGGAUCACUUAUAUACGACCGAAGGAAGCUUUUAACGUGGUAUAAGGGGCGGAAGUCGUCGUUUUGAGAUUCGCCAUUUUUGAAGCUUCAAAGGUGCGGCUUAGUUACGGACUCGAAUUCGAACGUGUUUAAGCUUGUUCUUGGGUCAAGGGAGGUUAUAUUUGAGUGCAUGGGACCCUAAGGAUUGUUUUUGACGUAAGAAAACGAAGCUUUAACGUCCAAAACGAAAAUCCAAAAUUUUGGACUCCAUUAAAGACGGUACACCGCCAACGAAGAAGACAACCCCGAUCUGCCCUCUCGGACCACUUUUCUUGAUCGUUUUGAGGUCCUGAGCAUUGUGGAGAGCUUCCCCAAUCGAAAGGACGCUUCAAGAGCCAUCGGAGACAAAGUUACACUUUACCGGCGACGAAACCGACGAGAACUCCGACGACACUCCGUUCAGGGGUUUCUGGAGGAUCUUGUUCUCAACAAGGAAAUUCGUUGAGGUGCUCGAGGUAGCAAGUGUGGUCUUAGCAACUGAGGUAAGAAGAGUGGACAUCUGUACACAGGGUGUAUGUUAUGCAUACAACUUGGGUUGGUUUGUUAUUUAAUUUGAUAGUGUUGUGAUUUCCUUAUAUUUUGUGAGCAUCAUUAGCACGAGAAUAAUAUUAGGGUCUUGCUGCUUGUGUGAGCACAACACUUGCAGGUUAUAACAUUAUCAUGGGUGAGUACAACUUAUGGUAAUUAAUUGCCCUGUUGGAUGCCAAGUGUGAGAAUAACACAAGGCAGGGUAGGUUACCUCAUGUCUGAUCAACAUGAGAGAAUAGUUGAUUAUCGUAUGUGAGUAUAAUGUGCGGUAUGAGACUUGAUGUGUGCAUGUGAGAACAACAUGCGUUGUGGAUAUAUUUAUGGAAUGUGAAUUACUGUUGAUUAAUAUAAAAGAGCAAAUUAUGUCAAGUAACUAGUUAGGAGGGUUAUGUCCUACAUAGCUCUUCUUACUGGGCGUUAGCUCACGGGUACUCUGUGUGCAGGUAAGGGUAAGGCUAAGCAGUGAGAAUGAAGAGCUCGAGGCGUGGACCGCAUGUUAGGGGGCUGGCACAGUAUUUUGCUUUUAAUGUUUUUAACUGCUAAACAUUUUGGAACUAUUAUUUUGACUUAACUAGUUCUUAUUUAAGUUUACAGUACUAAAAGUAUUUUGUUUUAAACAAUGAGAUCUCAUGCUUGGAUAUUUUUCAAUAAAGCAGUAUUUGAUUGUCUUUA